Molecule: long non-coding RNA, 1359 nt
Organism: Brienomyrus brachyistius
Lineage: Eukaryota; Metazoa; Chordata; Actinopteri; Osteoglossiformes; Mormyridae
Exons: 3
Source: RefSeq, a predicted model, not a curated record
UUGUGAACAAGUGAGGCUUCAGCUUUGGCCUUCUCCCAUUUGCCGCUCAGGAAGGCAUGGUGGACAUUAUUGCUCUCAAGGCGACUGGAGCCGGCCAUAUAAACAGCAAGCGGCCUUCUUGGGAGGGUAUCUCCUGUUAGAGACCGUGAGAGGGGCUGCAUGGUCCCUGACCAUGAUGGCGUGCGGAAAUCGGCCACGAGAACAAAGACAUUAAACACAGCUGCCAUCUGCACGCCGCGAGUGAGCCCUGGCUGGUUAGGAGAGAGGCUGCAGGAUGUGCCUGUGGAAAGGUCUGGUCGUCGGGGAGACUUCGUGGUGCAGGCUGAGGGGCCGGGAAGGAACGCGGCGGAGCAACGGGCGGCGCGGAGUGUGGAUCCCUGCCGUCCAGUGAUCAGUCACGGAGAAACAGCGAUCAUUCCCUCUCCGCUGAGGCGAGCAAAGCUGGCAAAGGGAGAGAAUACAGACGGAGAAGCUGAGACUCUCUUUGGUUGUGGUAACUGACACUGAUGGUUGGAUUUGGGGCAGGAUGUGCCAGUCCGGUGAUGCAGAUUCAGAGGAAUGCAGCACUUUUCAAAAUGCAUGGGAGACCAGGAAGACUUCAGGGGUGAGAGAAUAUAGUGUAGCUUUGCUUUUUUAUAAGAUACACAUGGACUGACUGGUGCAUUUGUGUCAGGGAAAAAAAAAAGCUGUUUCGCAGAGGGCGAGUGUAAUCUUCCAAUCAGAAUGUGGGUGUGCAUGUGACCGUAGCUCAUUCUCUGAUAGGACGCUUUGUCCCGACUCCCUUUAGCACACUUUACUGCUUCUUAUAAACAUGCAGCCUGAGCCUACAGGACUGAGUCCGCUCUCUGGGAUCCGUUUAGAAAGCUUUAGAAUCAUUGGGCCAUGCAGUGAGACUUCCUGGGAAGGCAUUAAAAAAAACAAAAAAGCAGAAAGAAAGCGAGACAAAGAAAAAGCUGAAAAAUAAAGUUAAAAAAAAGAAAACUGGAGGAAUUCUGCACUCGCUAACAGCUCCUUCGGCUAAUGGGUUUCAGAUGUGCAGCGUCUUUCAUUUUCAAAAGAACAUAAAACAUCCUGUCUCAGGAGAAUUCUAGUAACGGCAGGAAUUUACUGCAUAUGGUCACAACUGAUGUAAAAAAAAAAUGGCGACUGUUUCUUUAAAGUGAUUGCGUUCUUAUUUUUCUCCGAGACAUGCAUCUUAAACAACCGGACGACUGUUUAAACAAACUUGCAAGCUUGAGGCCUCAUAAUCAUUGGCCGUCACACUGUUCUCAUAUUGUAGGUGUUUUUCUUUCUCCCCAUUUCCUGUUUUCACAAAGAACAGAUUAAGCCUAAGUUGUGUGAAGUCAUUCUGAAUCCUGA